GGGGGGAGCAAGCGUUGUUCGGAUUUACUGGGCGUAAAGGGCGCGUAGGCGGCCACCGCAAGUCGACUGUGAAAUCUCCGGGCUUAACCCGGAACGGUCAGCCGAUACUGCGGGGCUAGAGUGCAGAAGGGGCAACUGGAAUUCUCGGUGUAGCGGUGAAAUGCGUAGAUAUCGAGAGGAACACCUGCGGCGAAGGCGGGUUGCUGGGCUGACACUGACGCUGAGGCGCGAAAGCUAGGGGAGCGAACGGGAUUAGAUACCCCGGUAGUCCUAGCCUUAAACGAUGAAUGCUUGGUGUCUGGGGUUUUAUAGUCCCCGGGUGCCGUCGCUAACGCUUUAAGCAUUCCGCCUGGGGAGUACGGUCGCAAGACUG
This 373-nucleotide ribosomal RNA is filed under the name uncultured bacterium. RNAcentral describes it as "bacterial SSU rRNA". It matches the Rfam family "Bacterial small subunit ribosomal RNA", at positions 527 to 896 of the family's 1533-position model. The record is from RNAcentral.